CGUCAUGGUAGCUGUGCGCGGGCAGGCCUUGUGCCUGGCCGGUUUUCCUCCUUGUUUGGCCGGUCUCUCACCCCGCGUACAGCUGCCACCUAU
Molecule: non-coding RNA, 93 nt
Filed under: Pseudomonas sp. LAIL14HWK12:I10
Lineage: Bacteria; Pseudomonadati; Pseudomonadota; Gammaproteobacteria; Pseudomonadales; Pseudomonadaceae
Also listed under: 2 other names
Source: RNAcentral